GGGGGGCCAAUGUGACUGCUUCAGCAGAAAACAAAGCUUCGAGUGACAUUGCAUGUAGCAAAGCAAAUUUUGGGCUGAACUCCACGGACUCAUUGUCUAGACUUAAAACCAGCAUUGGUGAGGAAAACAAUACCUGUCAUUCAUCUGAACGUGACACAGUUUAUGGCACGCCUAACAGAAAUCAGUCUCUUCAUAGUCUGUGGAUAACUAGAUUCUCAAACAGGACUCCCGGGACUACUGUUCUGAGCGCAGAUAAUCCCAAGCCAACUGCACAUGAAACACUAACAUGUUCCACGGAAUGCAGAAGGCCUAGUCCUCAAGCUCAAACGAGUGUUGAUUGUGUGAUUGAACACCAAAUCUCAGGCGCAAGGGAGACUUCGUCUGGAGACGAAGACGAUGAUGUUGCAGCCAGCUCAAAAGAGGUCAAUCAGAGUAAUAUACAUCCUAUUAUACCUUCCGCCAAGUUCAAGAAAUCCGAGGCGCUGGCCUCUCUAUUUGCCAGGAGAUUGGAUGCCCUUAAACACAUACUACCUUCUUCAACUAGAGGUGAGUACAGUUACACAAGAACAACUUGUUUCUUCUGCGGCAGAAGCGGCCACGACUUACGCAACUGUUCAGAGGUGACGGAGUCUGAGUUAGAAGUUCUUAUUAAAAACAUCAGGGCCUAUAAUGGGACUGAGGAAUCUACUUGUCUGUGCAUUAGAUGUUCAUUGGGCUAUUUCCUGCCCAACAUCAUCUCCAAACCGGAACAGGAAUGAUAGUUUGCAGCUCUUCACAGGCAAUGAAUGUUCAUCUAGCCUUGUGGAAAUAAAGCAAAGGCAACGGCUUGAACUUACUAAUCAGGCUUAUCACAGUAAAAAUCAGCUUUGGUUUGCAAGAACCUCUGGUUCCAAUCAAAUUCAGAAAAAGAGAACUUCUCAUGUGGAGAACAGUUUUAAAGAAAGUAUAAUUUCUUCCAAUCUUGUUGGUAAGGAGAUAACAGAUGUCCCGAAAGGAAUUUUUGAUGUCAUCAGGGGUCUCCGAUUGUUUCGUGUGGAUAUUCUCAAUUGGAUGAACUCCAACACUUCACUAUCACAUUUGGAUGGGCUUUUCCUGCGUUUACGAUUAGGGAAGUGGGAAGCAGGGCGAGGAGGUACAUGAUACUAUGUUGCUUGCAUAACUGGUGUAAAAGGAGAAAAAUCUGAGAGAGAUUCUAGGAACAUAUCAGUAAAUGUCUGUGGAGUCGAGUGUUUUGUGGGAAGCCAAUAUGUCUCCAACCAGGACUUUUUGGAGGAUGAACUAACUACUUGGUGGCGCAAAACGUUGGAGAGUGGCGGGAAGGUUCCUGCAGAAGAAGAUUUAAGACAAAAAUUCGAGGAGCGCAUGAAACUAGGGUUCUAAGAACUCGUCACACCAACACAUUAGUACCGAGUUUGGUUAAUCCAAGAGUGUCAAACCAGACCAAGAAAUGAGCUAUUCCACCAUCUUGUAAAUAAGAUUUUGGGUGCUAUUUCACAACAUUCUUUGUUCUUUUUAUCUAAUAUUCUAGACAUGUGAGAUUGAGAAUUAUUUUUUAGUGUUCAUCUUUUGUAUAUAGAUGAAUUUGUUUGUGAUCAUAAGGCAAUGAAAUGUUAAAUAACACGAGA
This is a non-coding RNA of Nicotiana tabacum (common tobacco), 1625 nucleotides long. The record is from RefSeq and is a predicted model, not a curated record. Lineage: Eukaryota; Viridiplantae; Streptophyta; Magnoliopsida; Solanales; Solanaceae.